RNAcentral lists this ribosomal RNA (267 nucleotides) under uncultured bacterium. RNAcentral describes it as "partial 16S ribosomal RNA". It matches the Rfam family "Bacterial small subunit ribosomal RNA", at positions 248 to 507 of the family's 1533-position model. The record is from RNAcentral.
GUUGGUGAGGUAACGGCUUACCAAGGCGACGAUCUGUAGCGGGUCUGAGAGGAUGAUCCGCCACACUGGAACUGAGACACGGUCCAGACUCCUACGGGAGGCAGCAGUGGGGAAUUUUGGACAAUGGGCGCAAGCCUGAUCCAGCCAUGCCGCGUGAGUGAAGAAGGCCUUCGGGUUGUAAAGCUCUUUCGGCCGGGAAGAAAUCGCAUGGGUUAAUACCCUGUGUGGAUGACGGUACCGGAAUAAGAAGCACCGGCUAACUACGUG